CUCAGCUGACAAGUAGCUAGAGUCCAUCUCUCUGCUGUUUUCACUGCUUUCAGGAAUGGUUUAGUGUCUUCAAAAAGACCGUUAGCAUCACAACCGUUAACUAGCUAUAGAGGCUGGCUAUUAGAGGAGUGUCAGAAAAACCCUAAAACAGGGGAAGUUACAAGAAAAUGUGUAAUGGGAGCUGCUGACAGAGAUACAGGAAUCACAGAGCUGGAGCGGAUCUCCUGUCGAAGAACAUCUCCAAGGCACUAUGAACCAUCUGACUAGUAAGUAAAACCUCAAACAUUCAAAAGUUUAUCAAAUAUUCAAAAAAAUAUAUCAAAUAAAUAUCAAAUAUUUCCUGUAUGUCCUACAAGGCCAUCUUGUUUAACUCUGCACUGAGGACACUUCAUACACAA
Long non-coding RNA from Sinocyclocheilus grahami, 398 nucleotides. RefSeq lists it as uncharacterized. The transcript is spliced from 4 exons. NCBI's taxonomy places the organism in Eukaryota, Metazoa, Chordata, Actinopteri, Cypriniformes, Cyprinidae. The record is from RefSeq and is a predicted model, not a curated record.